Molecule: long non-coding RNA, 2198 nt
Organism: Acanthochromis polyacanthus (spiny chromis)
Lineage: Eukaryota; Metazoa; Chordata; Actinopteri; Pomacentridae
Exons: 2
Source: RefSeq, a predicted model, not a curated record
GGAGGGCAGGACUGUGUGUGGUCGCGAUGGGAGGCGGUCGCACGUCAAAUUACUGCUGCUCUGACGUCAGUUUGGCGUCUACCUUUCUCGCUUAGAUGAGGAGGAAGAGUAGGAGGAGACGCCGGGAAGAAACGCAACAGAAGAGAUCUGAUACGAUCCUGUGAGAUGUUCAUCAUUAUGAGAUGUUCGGAUCCUCCUCUUAAAAUGUGCAGAAGAGAAGUCCUUGGGAUGUUAUUACCGAAGCUUUACUGUGUGGAGAAAGGAAAGGUGUCCUCAGGCUGCUCUCCAGUCUCCAGCACCAUGGACAGCUCCUCAGCCACCCCACUGAUUCACAGCAGGAGGAGGAAAGAUGGAAAACAAACAGAAAAAAAAUGAUGGAAAAACUGCUCAUUCCAUCAGCUCAGUAGAUUAUUUUAAGCAUAUAUUCAGAGUAAAGCAACAGAUGUUCAUUAGAUAUUAUUUCUUUAAUGUUGUACACAGAUUCAAAAUGAGUUCCAAGCAAAGAGGAUCAAGUGUAAUGUAAUAGGUUGCAAGUGAAAGGCUCCUGAGAGGGAAACAUUAUCUUAUAUUAUAUAACUGGGAUGUCAUUUCUGAUGCACAAACAUUCAGCAGUCUGGAGAUGAAACAAGAUUUGCAUUUUAUGUACAGUUGUGUGGUAAUGAACAGUAAUGCGUCAUAUCUUACAAAUCUGUUGUUUAUUUUGUGAAAUUUUAAUCCAGUAGUCAUGGACAUCAUCAAGUCAAACAGGAGUUUUCAAGAUAAUCUUGAGGCCUGGAAGAAGAAGAUCUUUUAAAAAUGCUGUAUAGAUGAAUAAAAUGGAAGGCAUGAAUGAAUAAACUGAGCUAAAAAUGUAAGAUAGCAGUAGAUAACUUUAUUUGCAUUUUAUGUGUAAUUUAGGGGAAAAUAAGACACUUUGACCACGAUAUUUAUAAAGGUGCUUAUUUUGUACUUCUACUUUACGCUUAUUUGCAAUAGCAUACACACUAUGCACAGCAUUUAAAAAUAACAGGACUUGCUGUGUUUUUUUUUAGAUCAUUUAAAGGUUGUUAACUCAAUUCCUGAUGACUAACACCUGAUGAGUGAAACUGAGAGAACGAGCUGAACUGUGAAGCUAAACUGUUAAAAAAGAAAAAGCCUUUUGGUCAUUAACGAAAACCAGUUUAAACCUUUGAAUAGAAGAUAGAUCUCUUUCCAGUGGAGAAGCAGCACAGAUUCUUUUAGACAUUAUUUGACAGGUAUAAUGGAGUUUAAAAUACCUCCUAAUUGCAAUUAUAACAUAAAACUUGAAUAAAUAAAGAGUUUCUGGUUUCAGUUUGCCUCUUUACAAAUCAGCAUGAUUGCUGUUGUAAAGUUGUGAGUGUUUGUGAUUUUACUGAGACAUAUGAAUAUCUGACACCUUGCAAUAUGUUAAAACAGCAGUUUGAUUUGUAAGCAUUCAUUAUAGUUCAUGUCAUAGUUAUGGUCUGUUUUAGUACAAAUAUGCACAAAAACACACGUUGCAAGUUGCCUUUAUUUCAAUAAGAGGAAAGAAGAGUUAUGAGAAUUAACUCAUUUGCAUUUCUGAGGCAAUGAGAUAAAGUUUCUGAGGUAAUUUAUAAUAAAUUAUACUUGUCAGCUACCUGAAAGGUAUAAUUAAGUGUAACGUACCUCUGAAUUGCAUUGACAACAGUACAGCAUUUACCUCAUGUUAGGGUUUUCUCUUUUAUUUUUCUGCUCAUUAGUGUACAGUUGGCAGUACGAGUGCUUUAACUGAGACAUACAUACUUCUUACUAUAAGUACUUACUGAAACGAUGGACCGUAAAUGUUCAUUAUGUUUACUGUCACAGCCAUUCUUAUCACAGGAAAGGCCCAUGACUCAUACAUGUACAAAGGCACACAGCAAACUUCCUUAAUUCAGAUGAAUGGAAAAAAGAGUUAUGAAAGUCAACUCACUUUUGAUGCAUGCUGGCAGGUUUGCUAAUAAGCAGCUACUGUCCUAUACUAUGAAAAGUCUAAAUAUGUGCUGUGAAAAAACCCUAUUAUGAAUUUAUCUGGGAAUGUUUCAAUAUUGCAAACAAUUGUAAUUUGGUUUGACUUAAAACACCAAAACUUACAUUUAUGCAAUAUAAAAAAUAACAAAGGAUUGGUUAAUGUCUCUAUGCUGUUUUAGUCUGUUUUCAUGUAAUGAGCUAUUCAAAUAAAAAUCUAAUUACAUUAA